This 468-nucleotide ribosomal RNA is filed under the name uncultured bacterium. RNAcentral's name for it is "partial 16S ribosomal RNA". It matches the Rfam family "Bacterial small subunit ribosomal RNA", at positions 28 to 507 of the family's 1533-position model. The record is from RNAcentral.
GACGAACGCUGGCGGCGUGCUUAACACAUGCAAGUCGAACGGAAAGGCCCUGCUUUUGUGGGGUGCUCGAGUGGCGAACGGGUGAGUAACACGUGAGUAACCUGCCCUUGACUUUGGGAUAACUUCAGGAAACUGGGGCUAAUACCGGAUAGGAGCUCCUGCUGCAUGGUGGGGGUUGGAAAGUUUCGGCGGUUGGGGAUGGACUCGCGGCUUAUCAGCUUGUUGGUGGGGUAGUGGCUUACCAAGGCUUUGACGGGUAGCCGGCCUGAGAGGGUGACCGGCCACAUUGAGACUGAGAUACGGCCCAGACUCCUACGGGAGGCAGCAGUGGGGAAUAUUGCACAAUGGGCGGAAGCCUGAUGCAGCAACGCCGCGUGCGGGAUGAUGGCCUUCGGGUUGUAAACCGCUUUCGCCUGUGACGAAGCGUGAGUGACGGUAAUGGGUAAAGAAGCACCGGCUAACUACGUG